Molecule: ribosomal RNA, 253 nt
Filed under: uncultured bacterium
Lineage: Bacteria
Description: partial 16S ribosomal RNA
Rfam family: Bacterial small subunit ribosomal RNA
Source: RNAcentral
CACCGAGGAGGCAAGCGUUAUCCGGAAUUAUUGGGCGUAAAGCGUCCGUAGGUGGUUCACCAAGUCUGCUGUCAAAGGGUGGGGCUUAACCUCAUAAAGGCAGUGGAAACUGGUGAGCUAGAGUGCGGUAGGGGUAAGGGGAAUUCCCAGUGUAGCGGUGAAAUGCGUAGAGAUUGGGAAGAACAUCGGUGGCGAAAGCGCCUUACUGGGCCUGCACUGACAUUGAGGGACGAAAGCUAGGGGAGCGAAAGGG